GGUUAAGCGACUAAGCGUACACGGUGGAUGCCCUGGCAGUCAGAGGCGAUGAAGGACGUGCUAAUCUGCGAUAAGCGCCGGUAAGGUGAUAUGAACCGUUAUAACCGGCGAUUUCCGAAUGGGGAAACCCAGUGUGACUCGUCACACUAUCAUUAACUGAAUCCAUAGGUUAAUGAGGCGAACCGGGGGAACUGAAACAUCUAAGUACCCCGAGGAAAAGAAAUCAACCGAGAUUCCCCCAGUAGCGGCGAGCGAACGGGGAGGAGCCCAGAGCCUGAAUCAGCAUGUGUGUUAGUGGAAGCGUCUGGAAAGGCGCGCGAUACAGGGUGACAGCCCCGUACACAAAAGCGCAUGUGCUGUGAGCUCGAUGAGUAGGGCGGGACACGUGGUAUCCUGUCUGAAUAUGGGGGGACCAUCCUCCAAGGCUAAAUACUCCUGACUGACCGAUAGUGAACCAGUACCGUGAGGGAAAGGCGAAAAGAACCCCGGCGAGGGGAGUGAAAAAGAACCUGAAACCGUGUACGUACAAGCAGUGGGAGCACCUUCGGGUGUGACUGCGUACCUUUUGUAUAAUGGGUCAGCGACUUAUAUUCUGUAGCAAGGUUAACCGUAUAGGGGAGCCGGAGGGAAACCGAGUCUUAACCGGGCGUUAAGUUGCAGGGUAUAGACCCGAAACCCGGUGAUCUAGCCAUGGGCAGGUUGAAGGUUGGGUAACACUAACUGGAGGACCGAACCGACUAAUGUUGAAAAAUUAGCGGAUGACCUGUGGCUGGGGGUGAAAGGCCAAUCAAACCGGGAGAUAGCUGGUUCUCCCCGAAAGCUAUUUAGGUAGCGCCUCGUGAAUUCAUCUCCGGGGGUAGAGCACUGUUUCGGCCAGGGGGCCAUCCCGGCUUACCAACCCGAUGCAAACUGCGAAUACCGGAGAAUGUUAUCACGGGAGACACACGGCGGGUGCUAACGUCCGUCGUGAAGAGGGAAACAACCCAGACCGCCAGCUAAGGUCCCAAAGUCAUGGUUAAGUGGGAAACGAUGUGGGAAGGCCCAGACAGCCAGGAUGUUGGCUUAGAAGCAGCCAUCAUUUAAAGAAAGCGUAAUAGCUCACUGGUCGAGUCGGCCUGCGCGGAAGAUGUAACGGGGCUAAACCAUGCACCGAAGCUGCGGCAGCGACACUCAGGUGUUGUUGGGUAGGGGAGCGUUCUGUAAGCCUGCGAAGGUGGCCUGUGAGGGUUGCUGGAGGUAUCAGAAGUGCGAAUGCUGACAUAAGUAACGAUAAAGCGGGUGAAAAGCCCGCUCGCCGGAAGACCAAGGGUUCCUGUCCAACGUUAAUCGGGGCAGGGUGAGUCGACCCCUAAGGCGAGGCCGAAAGGCGUAGUCGAUGGGAAACGGGUUAAUAUUCCCGUACUUGGUGUUACUGCGAAGGGGGGACGGAGAAGGCUAUGUUGGCCGGGCGACGGUUGUCCCGGUUUAAGCGUGUAGGUGUGUGUUCCAGGUAAAUCCGGUUCACUUUAACACUGAGGCGUGAUGACGAGGCACUACGGUGCUGAAGCAACAAAUGCCCUGCUUCCAGGAAAAGCCUCUAAGCAUCAGGUAACAUCAAAUCGUACCCCAAACCGACACAGGUGGUCAGGUAGAGAAUACCAAGGCGCUUGAGAGAACUCGGGUGAAGGAACUAGGCAAAAUGGUGCCGUAACUUCGGGAGAAGGCACGCUGACACGUAGGUGAAGUGAUUUACUGAUGGAGCUGAAGUCAGUCGAAGAUACCAGCUGGCUGCAACUGUUUAUUAAAAACACAGCACUGUGCAAACACGAAAGUGGACGUAUACGGUGUGACGCCUGCCCGGUGCCGGAAGGUUAAUUGAUGGGGUCAGCGCAAGCGAAGCUCCUGAUCGAAGCCCCGGUAAACGGCGGCCGUAACUAUAACGGUCCUAAGGUAGCGAAAUUCCUUGUCGGGUAAGUUCCGACCUGCACGAAUGGCGUAAUGAUGGCCAGGCUGUCUCCACCCGAGACUCAGUGAAAUUGAACUCGCUGUGAAGAUGCAGUGUACCCGCGGCAAGACGGAAAGACCCCGUGAACCUUUACUAUAGCUUGACACUGAACAUUGAGCCUUGAUGUGUAGGAUAGGUGGGAGGCUUUGAAGUGUGGACGCCAGUCUGCAUGGAGCCGACCUUGAAAUACCACCCUUUAAUGUUUGAUGUUCUAACGUGGACCCGUGAUCCGGGUUGCGGACAGUGUCUGGUGGGUAGUUUGACUGGGGCGGUCUCCUCCUAAAGAGUAACGGAGGAGCACGAAGGUUGGCUAAUCCUGGUCGGACAUCAGGAGGUUAGUGCAAUGGCAUAAGCCAGCUUGACUGCGAGCGUGACGGCGCGAGCAGGUGCGAAAGCAGGUCAUAGUGAUCCGGUGGUUCUGAAUGGAAGGGCCAUCGCUCAACGGAUAAAAGGUACUCCGGGGAUAACAGGCUGAUACCGCCCAAGAGUUCAUAUCGACGGCGGUGUUUGGCACCUCGAUGUCGGCUCAUCACAUCCUGGGGCUGAAGUAGGUCCCAAGGGUAUGGCUGUUCGCCAUUUAAAGUGGUACGCGAGCUGGGUUUAGAACGUCGUGAGACAGUUCGGUCCCUAUCUGCCGUGGGCGCUGGAGAACUGAGGGGGGCUGCUCCUAGUACGAGAGGACCGGAGUGGACGCAUCACUGGUGUUCGGGUUGUCAUGCCAAUGGCACUGCCCGGUAGCUAAAUGCGGAAGAGAUAAGUGCUGAAAGCAUCUAAGCACGAAACUUGCCCCGAGAUGAGUUCUCCCUGAGACUUAGAGUCUCCUGAAGGAACGUUGAAGACGACGACGUUGAUAGGCCGGGUGUGUAAGCGCAGCGAUGCGUUGAGCUAACCGGUACUAAUGAACCGUGAGGCUUAACCUU
Molecule: ribosomal RNA, 2904 nt
Filed under: Salmonella enterica subsp. enterica serovar Alachua
Lineage: Bacteria; Pseudomonadati; Pseudomonadota; Gammaproteobacteria; Enterobacterales; Enterobacteriaceae
Description: 23S ribosomal RNA
Rfam family: Bacterial large subunit ribosomal RNA
Source: RNAcentral